UGGGGGAUAUUGCACAAUGGGCGAAAGCCUGAUGCAGCGACGCCGCGUGGGGGAUGAAGGCUUUCGGGUUGUAAACCUCUUUCGCUAUCGAACAAGGCCCGCUUAGGGUGGGUUGAGGGCAGGUGGAGAAGAAGCGCCGGCUAACUACGUGCCAGCAGCCGCGGUAAUACGUAGGGCGCGAGCGUUGUCCGGAAUUAUUGGGCGUAAAGGGCUUGUAGGCGGCUUGUUGCGCCUGCUGUGAAAACGCGGGGCUUAACUUCGCGCGUGCAGUGGGUACGGGCAGGCUUGAGUGUGGUAGGGGUGACUGGAAUUCCAGGUGUAGCGGUGGAAUGCGCAGAUAUCUGGAGGAACACCGAUGGCGAAGGCAGGUCACUGGGCCAUUACUGACGCUGAGGAGCGAAAGCAUGGGUAGCGAACAGG
Molecule: ribosomal RNA, 420 nt
Filed under: bacterium
Lineage: Bacteria
Also listed under: 1 other name
Description: partial 16S ribosomal RNA
Rfam family: Bacterial small subunit ribosomal RNA
Source: RNAcentral